Molecule: ribosomal RNA, 468 nt
Filed under: uncultured bacterium
Lineage: Bacteria
Description: partial 16S ribosomal RNA
Rfam family: Bacterial small subunit ribosomal RNA
Source: RNAcentral
GACGAACGCUGGCGGCGUGCUUAACACAUGCAAGUCGAACGGAAAGGCCCUGCUUUUGUGGGGUGCUCGAGUGGCGAACGGGUGAGUAACACGUGAGUAACCUGCCCUUGACUUUGGGAUAACUUCAGGAAACUGGGGCUAAUACCGGAUAGGAGCUCCUGCUGCAUGGUGGGGGUUGGAAAGUUUCGGCGGUUGGGGAUGGACUCGCGGCUUAUCAGCUUGUUGGUGGGGUAGUGGCUUACCAAGGCUUUGACGGGUAGCCGGCCUGAGAGGGUGACCGGCCACAUUGGGACUGAGAUACGGCCCAGACUCCUAUGGGAGGCAGCAGUGGGGAAUAUUGCACAAUGGGCGGAAGCCUGAUGCAGCAACGCCGCGUGCGGGAUGACGGCCUUCGGGUUGUAAACCGCUUUCGCCUGUGACGAAGCGUGAGUGACGGCAAUGGGUAAAGAAGCACCGGCUAACUACGUG